UCCACCUGGCUUACCUCUCUGGUUGUUUGUUUAGGCUUGUAUCGUCUAAGCAGACUGUGGGUUUCCUGCGUUGCCUACCUAAGUUAUGGUAUUGUCCCGAUCGAUGAUAGUCGCUUUCGUCUUGUGCCGUACUCAUGGCAUCAGAUGAACCGUGAGGCAGUCUUUUUGAUCCACAUUGUUAAUGCUUGCAUUGAUGUUGUGGCCCAUUGAGCGUUGCUUGGUAUCUUGGGUAUGGAACAUCAUGUGGGCAUGGGUUCUCUCAUGGGAUCCUUGUUUUGCCCUCGGUUAGCGUUCGCGCGUCUCUUAAUGCGACUUGCCCAGCCCGCAUUGGCUCGUACCAGCGGGUGGGUUAUGUAAAGAGAUGCGUUUGUGCAACUCUCUGAACGACUUUCCCAGCCCGCAUUGGCUCGUACCAGCGGGUGGGUUUGUCAAAAGAGCUGUGCAUGUCUCAGAACGACCGCCCAGCCCGCAUUGGCUCGUACCAGCGGGUGGGUUAUGUCUAAGAGGAAUGCUACCUGGUUGAUCCUGCCAGUAGUCAUAUGCUUGUCUCAA
RNAcentral lists this unclassified non-coding RNA (552 nucleotides) under Oparanthus hivoanus. RNAcentral describes it as "partial external transcribed spacer". Lineage: Eukaryota; Viridiplantae; Streptophyta; Magnoliopsida; Asterales; Asteraceae. The record is from RNAcentral.